UAAGUGAAAGCCAAAGCGUGCGGCGCCUAGCUGUUAAUUAGGAGAGUGUGAAGGAAAUCACUCACUUAG
Molecule: transfer RNA, 69 nt
Filed under: Aliger gigas (queen conch)
Lineage: Eukaryota; Metazoa; Mollusca; Gastropoda; Littorinimorpha; Strombidae
Description: Strombus gigas tRNA-Asn
Source: RNAcentral